AUUGAACGCUGGCGGCAGGCCUAACACAUGCAAGUCGAACGAGUGGCGGACGGGUGAGCAAUGUCUGGGAAACUGCCCGACGGAGGGGGAUAACGACGGGAAACGGUAGCUAAUACCGCAAACCAUCGGAUGUGGCCAGGUGGGAUUAGCUAGUAGGUGGGGUAAUGGCUCACCUAGGCAACGAUCCCUAGCUGGUCUGAGAGGAUGACCGGCCACACUGGAACUGAGACACGGUCCAGACUCCUACGGGAGGCAGCAGUGGGGAAUAUUGCACAAUGGGCGAAAGCCUGAUGCAGCCAUGCCGCGUGUGUGAAGAAGGCCUUCGGGUUGUAAAGUACUUUCGGCGGGGAGGCGUUACUCGCCCAGAAAGCCCCGGCUAACUCCGUGCCAGCAGCCGCGGUAAUUC
Molecule: ribosomal RNA, 406 nt
Filed under: uncultured bacterium
Lineage: Bacteria
Description: partial 16S ribosomal RNA
Rfam family: Bacterial small subunit ribosomal RNA
Source: RNAcentral